Molecule: antisense RNA, 187 nt
Filed under: Aliterella atlantica CENA595
Lineage: Bacteria; Bacillati; Cyanobacteriota; Cyanophyceae; Chroococcidiopsidales; Aliterellaceae
Description: Antisense RNA which regulates isiA expression
Rfam family: Antisense RNA which regulates isiA expression
Source: Rfam by way of RNAcentral
CGUAACCAAAGAUUACUGCUGGGUUGAGCGUAGGAUUAGAAAUUACCCUAACAUCUCCACCACCAGGCGCCCAAGUAUCGUACAAUCCGCCGAAGAACAUGGCUUUGAGAACUAAGAGCAAUGCACCGCAACCUAAAAUAAUUAGGUGAAAGCCGAUGAUGCUGGUCAUUUUGUUCUUGUCUUUCCA